GGAUGUCUGAUGGAGCGGAAUGGCUCUCUAUCUCGUCGAUCUAGGAGAAGCUCGGAUGGAGACUUUCUGUUGGUGAAGUCCGGUAGGAGUUCGAUUGCUAGAGAAGUUCAUCUAAAAUUUGUCGGAUGUGAAAGCUCAUCUGAAAAUUAUCCAUCGAAGAAGUCCGAUUUCAUGAAGAAUCUGGCGGAGGGUCGGCCAGCGGUGGACUUCGGAUGGCG
RNAcentral lists this long non-coding RNA (218 nucleotides) under Elaeis guineensis (African oil palm). RNAcentral's name for it is "long non-coding RNA (EGUI_LNC080685)". The record is from RNAcentral. Lineage: Eukaryota; Viridiplantae; Streptophyta; Magnoliopsida; Arecales; Arecaceae.